CCUACGGGUGGCAGCAGUCGAGAAUCAUUCACAAUGGGGGAAACCCUGAUGGUGCGACGCCGCGUGGGGGAAUGAAGGUCUUCGGAUUGUAAACCCCUGUCAUGUGGGAGCAAAUUAAAAAGAUAGUACCACAAGAGGAAGAGACGGCUAACUCUGUGCCAGCAGCCACGGUAAUACAGAGGUCUCAAGCGUUGUUCGGAAUCACUGGGCGUAAAGCGUGCGUAGGCUGUUUCGUAAGUCGUGUGUGAAAGGCGCGGGCUCAACCCGCGGACGGCACAUGAUACUGCGAGACUAGAGUAAGGGAGGGGGAACCGGAAUUCUCGGUGUAGCAGUGAAAUGCGUAGAUAUCGAGAGGAACACUCGUGGCGAAGGCGGGUUCCUGGACAUUAACUGACGCUGAGGCACGAAGGCCAGGGGAGCGAAAGGGAUUAGAUACCCUAGUAGUC
RNAcentral lists this ribosomal RNA (446 nucleotides) under uncultured bacterium. RNAcentral describes it as "partial 16S ribosomal RNA". It matches the Rfam family "Bacterial small subunit ribosomal RNA", at positions 338 to 795 of the family's 1533-position model. The record is from RNAcentral.